This is a non-coding RNA of Bactrocera oleae (olive fruit fly), 2394 nucleotides long. Lineage: Eukaryota; Metazoa; Arthropoda; Insecta; Diptera; Tephritidae. The record is from RefSeq and is a predicted model, not a curated record.
UGGCAACGGUUGGUUUACGAACAAAACGGCGCAUAUUUGGCUUAAAUCGGACAAAUGUACACAAAGUUAUCAUCUUUUGAAAAAUCAAUAAAAAAAACCGAACGAACUUUUUACUUUACCUAAUAUAAUAAUUUGACAUAUUUAUAAUCUUGCAAUCAGUUACAAAUGAGAAUAAUAAAUUUGCUCACUUAGCGGUUGUUUGUAACACAUAAAACUUAUCGAGAUGGAUAUAGAUGACGAGACGAGUUGAAUUUCGGGUGACCGUAUAUCCGUGCCUAUGUACGUCUGCAGUUUAAAGUUUGUAAAAAAUGGGUGUAGCCCCGUCCCCUCUCAAACCGCUGUAGCUGUAUCAACAGUAAUUCUGUAAAAAAAUAUUAUUGAAGUUCAUAAAAUAUAUUUUAAUGGUAAUAAGAUGCAUUUGCGUUGAAAAUUAUUAAAAUCGGGUCAAACCUUGCCCUAACCCCCAUAUACCUUAUAUAAGAAUUUUCCAACUUCCAGAAAUUUUACCGGUCAUACUAUGAGAUACCUUAAUAUAAUUCAGAAGGAAUCCUUUGAUGGUAAUAAUGAGCCCUGAUAUAAUAAAAUUGGGACAAUACUUCUCCUAGCCCCUAUAUACCUGACAAAGUCACUUUCGACUUUCCAGUUGAAAUUAAACCGGUUAUUUAGCACAAAAUAUGUAAAGGUAGGUCGUGGGGUGGACAUAACCGAUGGUUUUCACUUAAGCAGCUGAGAACUUUUGUCCUUUGCGUUACCAAAAAAGUACGAAAAAGGAUCCCUAGAUCCUUAUAGAUCAACAAAGCAUUUUGAGCUUCCCACAAAUUCGUUACGGCGGGUAACACCAAUCCCAACCAUUUCGCUAGAUUCGUCACUGGUGUGUCAAAUUGUCUGGGAAAAGCGCGGAGAAAGUUACAAGAUGAUUUCUCCUCGCCUUCUAUAUAGCUAUGGUAAAGAGCGUCCGACAAAAUAUUUAGCCUCGCUGCGUGUGAACUUAUUGGACAGUGUUUAGUCAGAACUCCUACAAUUGCGGCGGUAUUGGCUUUUUAAAGAGUAAGUAGUUCAGACGAUUCACUCUAUACCAGAAGGAUCUCGCUGUCGCACAAGUUCUGGUUGUUGACCAGUUAUUGCUGAGGUUCAGAGUUAGAACGCAAGAGGAUAACGAAGUACCGACUCAUUUUUAAUCGUAUAAAAUUGUGGUAAGGGUGCUCUCCCUAUCGAUUAUGCAAGUAUAAUAUGGAAGAAGCUUGAACGACGCUCCAGUGGUAUGGUGAUGGAGAGCUAAUGACAGAAGGCUCCACCUCCUACUCUCUUUCUUAACUUCACUAAUCAAAGAAUAGAGCUCUCAACGUAAGGAGAGUAACAUCAAGGCUCCAUGGUCCACGUAGGCAAUCACCUGGAAGCCUCAUUCCUCAAGUUCCUUCCAUACGUCGUUAACUACUAGGAUCCAGAGUAAAGGGAAAAAAACGCCACUUUGCGGGGUGCCCCUUUCAACUUUUCGAAAUGCCAAUACACUUUCCCACUCCGCCACUACCGUUCAGUCGCAAAGGAGACUAUAUAUGGUAUGUUUGAGAUUAGUACGUUGUUGAUGGCUCCCGCAAUAUCAAUCAAAGACUUUAUGUGUAAGGACUCCCUCCGACCAUGACAUUUCCAAGUGAAAGGCAGAUUUAACAAUUCCUAAAAGUAUUUCCAGCAUUUGCUUCUUGACAAUUGCGAAUGUAUAACAUGUUCAGUUGCACCCAAACUUAGGAAUUUCUUCUUUGUUUUUAGUUAAGUUACGUAGUGGAUAAAAAUAUAUUUGAAAAUAUUUAAACAUGAUAUUUUUGGGUUUAUUAACUUGUGUUUCUUUAUCUUAUAUCAAUUUUGUAAAUAACUCAUAUUAUACUUUUUAUCUACAGAAAGCCCGUUUGGCUAGAAUAAGAAUUGCCAAGGCUUCUUCUGGUGCGGCGUUUGUUAGUAAGAAGAAAGCUGCAGAAGCUCGCUGGGCCGCACAAGAGUCAGGAAUUGAAUUGGAUGAUAACUAUAGGGAUGAGGACAUAUUCGAACUACAACACCAUCAUCUUCUGAGAUGUCUUGAGAAAACCACUCACUUUGGCCAUGAACGAUUGGGUUUUUAUGGUGCACAUUGUAUCUGGAUUAUGUUGCAGUUUUAAUGGAAGCUUAAAUGAUGAAUGCGCUGUUCAUCUAAUAAAGUUGCUGCAAUGCCAGAUGAUGCAACGGCCAAUGCGAUGCCAUAUUUUGAUCAAAUCUCAGCAAAGAGUAGUGAAAUAAGGAAUGUUUUGCCAGUUCCACCUGGUGCAUCAACCAAAAAAAAAAAAAAAAUAACUCUCUUUCCCUGCUAAAAAUGCCAGCACAAUGCGGUCGUAAAUUGUUUUUUGAUCAUCACUUAGUAGUGGAACA